AAACGAUGACAGAGUUGGCAAUCGACAGUUCGUUGAGAAAUUCCCACAGUCUUUAGUUCUAAUCACAAACACUCAAAUAAUGUUGAUCCUGAUGGUGAAAUGUCACUUCUCCUCGAUGGUGCUCUUCUCCUCGCAGUACUUUGAUACACCAUCGGGUUGUCGGAUGUCUUCUCUGGAGGUUGGCAGGGACAACCGAUUUUCUCCAUUAUUUCUUUUUGGCUGCUCCUCACGUUUGAUCUCUCUCAUGUGUGACCUUUCUCCUGUUCGACCCUUUCGAGUUCACCCUCUUAUUUCCGUUUUUGACCCAUAUUUAUAAUCUUCCGGCAUCCGCUGUUGCGGAUAAAAGAUUUCCUGCAGUUGGAGGGGCGUAUUUAACCCAAUAAUUAACGAAUGUCCCCUGC
Molecule: long non-coding RNA, 401 nt
Filed under: Androctonus crassicauda
Lineage: Eukaryota; Metazoa; Arthropoda; Arachnida; Scorpiones; Buthidae
Source: RNAcentral